This 1487-nucleotide long non-coding RNA is filed under the name Gallus gallus (chicken). Its description in RNAcentral is "lncRNA (ENSGALG00010017025.1)". Lineage: Eukaryota; Metazoa; Chordata; Aves; Galliformes; Phasianidae. The record is from RNAcentral.
AAACUGAUGUCCACAAGUGUUAGGGCCUGGAGAAGAGGGAGGGCUGUGCUAAUCCAGGCCAGUAGUCUCACCUGAGAGGAUGGGAGGCUUUAACAGGGCUGGGAUUCGAAAAAAGCUGAGCUAUGGAGGAAACCCUGCAGAGAUGGAGCAAGGAGCUCAGGUCUGACUCUUGCUCACCUGCGGUGAAUGAACAGUGCAUAGAUACAGCUUGAUGCAUCCAUCAUACAGACAUGUGACAGCUAGCAGCCUCUGAAUUUCUAGUGGCAAAGCUGCAGCAAGCCAAAGGGAUCUCUACCUGAAGUGGAGCUUCAUCUUUCUGAAUACAGGCUAUGCCUUGAGCCACAGCAGUGUGUUCUGUUGCUUCUCUCCAGGCUCUCAGGCCUGUUCUUCAGUUUGCUGGCAGAAGGGAGAAGUGGUGGAAUGCCAUGACAGGGUGCUAACUUGUACUCUCAAGCACAAGAACUGGCCUAGCUGAAGCAUUUUGAUGCAUGAGAACAACAGGAAGCAACUCUUGCCAAGCAGCUGGCUGGCAUAAGGAGGAGCUCAUGCUGGUUGGAGAACUUGGGAACAAAUAUUUGUUGUGUUAGCUCUACUGAGCUGCACGGCUGGUCCCAUGUUGGCCCCACUGCUUCCAGUUCAACAGACUGGAUCAGAGCUGCUGGCCCAAACUGAAAACUGUGUUGGAGAUAGGAUAUGCCAAAACUGUCCCACAUGGCCUAGGUGGAGAAUUAAUGAUAACAUUGAUGGUAUUUGCUCGUGGUAACUUUGUGCAAUGGGUGUGAAGAGCAGUGUGAGGUUUGUCCUGGAUGCCUGUCACCAAGAACUGCUGGUGGGACCCACCACUGGAGUGCUUUAAUAGACACCAAUUAGAGAGAACCACCAGCAUCCAUGCUCCAAUGGCUUUAGCUCCCAAAUCCUGUAGUCUGGGACAAGCUUCUAUCCCAGGCUGUGAUACAGAGGAAGCACAGGCAGAGCAGAGGGUCUGACCAUGAGACUUUAGUAACACACUGCUGCUUCCAUCUCCUGUGAUCUGUGCCUUCGGAGCUGGAAGCCUUGAAUGUAAACAUGAGUAUAUCAGCUGAUCCUUCUCAGAGCAUUGUUUGUUUGGGGUCAACUUAUCUCCUUUUCAAGAACAGGAUGUUUAAGGGAAAAUUUAUAUAUAUAUAUAUAUAUAUAUAAAACAUAUCCAUAAUGGUCUUAAUUGUAAGUCAGCUUUUAUACUUUCAGAUUGGAACCUAAUUAAUCAUUGGCUGUACAGGGAACUGAUUCAUUGCUUUGUUGCUCUUUAUUCGUAUAAAUCUUUGAUUUAGUGAUUACUACUUUUUGAUUUAUCACUUACUACGCAAGUAAUCAAUAUUUGUGAUGAAUGGAUAAAUUUAAGUACCACCCACUUUGUAAUAUUAUUUUAUAUAGAAUAUGGUCUGUAAGAUGCAUAUUUCCAGUCUGAAUGAUUAGAAAUAGACAUUGAAAAUAUAAUGUGCAUCUCU